RNAcentral lists this ribosomal RNA (1318 nucleotides) under Thalamita sima. RNAcentral describes it as "16S ribosomal RNA". The stretch from base 594 to 1318 matches the Rfam family "Archaeal large subunit ribosomal RNA", at positions 1423 to 2844 of the family's 2987-position model. The record is from RNAcentral. Lineage: Eukaryota; Metazoa; Arthropoda; Malacostraca; Decapoda; Portunidae.
AUUUUAUUUUAUUGCUUUAAAUACGAUGUAAUUAUUUAUUGAAAACUUAAUAUGAAGUUAAGAAAGUAGUUAUUAACAAAAUUUAAAUUUGAGCUAUAGAUAAUAAGUACUGAAUAGGAAAUAAUAUAAGACAUUUUAAAAUAAUUAAGUAAAUUUUAAGUAUUGUACCUUGUGUAUCAGGGGUAAUUAAAUUAUAGCAUAUAUAGCAUGUAGUUCCCGAAUUAGAGAUAGCUAAUAUUUUAAACAAGUUUUUGUAACAAAAAAAUUUGUAAUAUAAUAUUAAAGAUGAAACGUCAAACGAGCUUUAAAUUACCUGGUUCUCUAGGAAUGAAAUAUAAUUUUAUUAUUAAAUUUAAUUUAUUUAAUAGUGAAGGGUAGGAGGGACAAGCUUCUUAUCACUAAGAAAAUUGUUUUAUAGAAGAAAUAAAGUAUAACUUUUCUAGGCUUAAAAGUAGCUAUGAUUAUAAAGUGUUUCAAUUUAGGUUGAAGUUUAAGCUAUUUAUUUCAUCUUUAUAUAGUACUAGAGUAUUAAUUAAGACUAAAAUAAUCAAGAAAAAAUGGUUGUAUGAGUAAAUAUAUGUUUAUAGAAAUAAGAGCAUUUAAAAUAGACUGAGUGAAUUAUAAAAGAUGUAGGAAACAAAAAAGGAACUCGGCAAAGUAUUCUUCUUGCCUGUUUAUCAAAAACAUGGCUAUUAUGAAAAUGUUUAUAGUCUAGCCUGCUCACUGAUGUAAAUAUUAAAUAGCCGCGGUAUCUUGACCGUGCAAAGGUAGCAUAAUCAUUAGUUUUUUAAUUGAAAACUCGUAUGAAUGGUUGGACAAAGAAGAGACUGUCUCUUUUAUUAAAGUUGAAUUUAACUUUUAAGUGAAAAGGCUUAAAUUUUCUAGAGGGACGAUAAGACCCUAUAAAGCUUUAUGAACUUAGACAUUCUAUAUAUUUUUAAAUAAAAAUAAUUUUUUAAAUGUUCAUUUGGUUGGGGCGACAAUAGUAUAAUAAGAGUAACUGCUUUUAAGUUUAACAAAAAUGUUUGAGUCAUAAUUAGUUGAUCCUUCAUAGAGAUUUUAAGAUCAAGUUACUUUAGGGAUAACAGCGUUAUUUUUCCUGAGAGUUCUUAUCAAAGGAAAAGUUUGCGACCUCGAUGUUGAAUUAAAAUGUCUUUAUAGUGCAGCAGCUUUAAAAGAAGGUCUGUUCGACCUUUAAUAUUUUACAUGAUUUGAGUUCAGACCGGCGAGAGCCAGGUCGGUUUCUAUCUUUCGGAGAGGAAAUAUUUACCUUAGUACGAAAGGAUUGGGUAAAUAAAAAGGUUUUGAUAAUUGAAAU